RNAcentral lists this non-coding RNA (28 nucleotides) under Mus musculus (house mouse). The record is from RNAcentral. Lineage: Eukaryota; Metazoa; Chordata; Mammalia; Rodentia; Muridae.
UGAAACAGUGUGGAUGGCAAACUUUGGA